This 462-nucleotide ribosomal RNA is filed under the name uncultured Nitrososphaerota archaeon. RNAcentral's name for it is "bacterial SSU rRNA". It matches the Rfam family "Archaeal small subunit ribosomal RNA", at positions 340 to 802 of the family's 1478-position model. The record is from RNAcentral. Lineage: Archaea; Thermoproteati; Nitrososphaerota.
CGAGAAACCUUUAGUCAAUGUGCGCAAGCACGACAAGAUUAAUCCGAGUGUUUCCUGCUAAAGGAACCUUUUGACAGUCCUAGAAACACUGUUGAAUAAGGGGUGGGCAAGUUCUGGUGUCAGCCGCCGCGGUAAAACCAGCACCUCAAGUGGUCAGGAUGAUUAUUGGGCCUAAAGCAUCCGUAGCCGGCUCUGUUAGUUUUCGGUUAAAUCUGUACGCUCAACGUACAGGCUGCCGGGAAUACUGCAGAGCUAGGGAGUGGGAGAGGUAGACGGUACUCGGUAGGAAGGGGUAAAUCCUUUGAUCUAUUGAUGACCACCUGUGGCGAAGGCGGUCUACCAGAACACGUCCGACGGUGAGGGAUGAAAGCUGGGGGAGCAAACCGGAUUAGAUACCCGGGUAGUCCCAGCUGUAAACCAUGCAAACUCAGUGAUGCAUUGGCUUGUGGCCAAUGCAGUGCU